CCCCCCAGCAGCCCAGAGAGUGCUGUGAUUUGGAUUCAGGAUGAGAAUCAUGUUGAUAACACGCUGAUGUUUCAGUUGUUGCUCAGCAGUGCUUACCCUUACUCAAGGA
Molecule: long non-coding RNA, 109 nt
Organism: Corvus hawaiiensis (hawaiian crow)
Lineage: Eukaryota; Metazoa; Chordata; Aves; Passeriformes; Corvidae
Exons: 3
Source: RefSeq, a predicted model, not a curated record